This is a long non-coding RNA of Neltuma alba, 272 nucleotides long. RefSeq lists it as uncharacterized. The record is from RefSeq and is a predicted model, not a curated record. The transcript is spliced from 3 exons. Lineage: Eukaryota; Viridiplantae; Streptophyta; Magnoliopsida; Fabales; Fabaceae.
ACUGUGGGGCCUCAGUUCCUCCGCUGCUGUUUGAGCCUUGGAGAAUUAGAUAUUGCCUUGGAUUUGCUCCAACGAUGCAAGGAGCUGCUUUUUGCUACUGACAUAAACAAGGACCCAACAAUUCGGAAUAUUGCACGCUAUCUUCCUAAGUCUCUGAACACAAGUCAACUUCCGUUCUGGAAGCGAUGGCCGUAUCACUAUGUCAAAAUACCAUCAACCACAACCACUGGGCAUUUCUGCGUAGAUAUUCAGCAAGAAGGCGAGAGCAACCA